CCUACGGGAGGCAGCAGUGGGGAAUAUUGCACAAUGGGGGAAACCCUGAUGCAGCGACGCCGCGUGAGAGAUGAAGUAUUUCGGUAUGUAAAGCUCUAUCAGCAGGGAAGAAAAUGACGGUACCUGACUAAGAAGCCCCGGCUAACUAAGUGCCAGCAGCCGCGGUAAUACGUAGGGGGCAGGCGUUAUCCGGAUUUACGGGGUGUAAAGGGAGGGGAUACGGCUGUGCAAGCCAGAUGUGAAAGCCCGGGGCUCAACCCCGGGACUGCAUUUGGAACUGUGUGGCUAGAGUGUCGUAGAGGCAGGCGGAAUUCCUAGUGUAGCGGUGAAAUGCGUAGAUAUUAGGAGGAACACCAGUGGCGAAGGCGGCCUGCUGGACGAUGACUGACGUUGAGGCUCGAAAGCGUGGGGAGCAAACAGGAUUAGAUACCCGAGUAGUC
RNAcentral lists this ribosomal RNA (440 nucleotides) under uncultured bacterium. Its description in RNAcentral is "partial 16S ribosomal RNA". It matches the Rfam family "Bacterial small subunit ribosomal RNA", at positions 338 to 795 of the family's 1533-position model. The record is from RNAcentral.